UUACUAUCUAUAAAAUUGUAAGUGUAGGCGUGAUUUGGCGGCGAGUUCCCUCCUCACUUUGUACUCUCGCGUGUGGAUGUAUAUAUCUUCAAAUGUACCGUUGGAUUGCUGUCUUUCUUCUAAUAGAUGGCUAUGAUGGGCAGUUGCUUUUCAUUUGUUUGUUUAUAUAGUUUUGUCUUCUUUGGUCCCAGUUUGUGCACGUGUCAAUGCAAGGGUAGUAAACAUCUAAAAUCUGGUGCAUGCACCUGCUUUUUACUUCGCCUGAGGCCUUGCUUUUCUUGGGUUCAUGCACGGGGAUUGGAGUCUUGCUUUCUUCUCCCCUCCCAAUACAACUCAGCGACCCAUCGUUGAUCUUCUUGGGUUCAUCGUUCAUCUUUGCAAUUCUUUGCUCUUUUCAUGUUGGGUGAUUAGAUCCACUCAUCUGGUGCGUUUCUGUGGUUUUUUCCCAGGUCAUCGAUUACAUGGGCACAUGCGAGCCUGAUUUGACUAGGCGUAUCUCGGAUCUCCGUCGAUUCUCCCGCGUUCCAUGGAAUUGCACCUUCGAUUUCGUCCGUUGUCAAGGUUUCUUCUCACUCUUUAAUUUCCUGAUUUUUAAAUUUUUGGGAAUUAGAUUUCAUGUAAAGCUUACCGAAAUCUCUGGAUCUAAUUGGUUCUAAGGUUUGAUUCUUUUGCUUUUCCAUUUUUGUCUGUUCAUUGAGUUGGGUCAAUUGAAGUGGUCAUUUCUUAUUAUUCUCAAUUCAUAUGACUGCAGACAGACCUUUCUCAGUCGAAUACAGUCGGGAAAAGGAAGGUUAGCCUAACAGUUCAAAAAUUCAAUAUCAUGUGGUUGCAACUGUAAGGAGUAGAGCUCUAACUAAUAUCUCCAAAGAUCAUUAUGCUUUGAUGUUGGUGGUGGAAACUCAGCAGCUUCUCAUUCAACCAAGUGCGGCGUAUCGGUUUCUCUCACCUAAUUGAAUUAUCAUUUCCUUUGACAUUUUAGGGGGCUUGCGUGGAGGACUAGGUUAACUUUUCAGUGGCCACUACAGGACACAACCGAGUGCUUUGACCAAUUUUCCAAUUGACAAGGGGCUAGGAUAAACUUCAAUAUAAGUUCCCUCUCUAUUUGUUCUCUAUUUCAAAGCGUAUUUUGUGGUAUUGUUUAAGUCCUCCAUUUUUAUUAUUGUUAUCCUUUACAAACUCUAAAAGAUUUUUCACUACGAUUAUUGUACAAGUACAAAGAUAAUGAUAUGUUAUAAACAGAGUGGAAUAAAAUAAAGAUAUGAAGUUUACAUGAA
Long non-coding RNA from Tripterygium wilfordii, 1274 nucleotides. RefSeq lists it as uncharacterized. The record is from RefSeq and is a predicted model, not a curated record. NCBI's taxonomy places the organism in Eukaryota, Viridiplantae, Streptophyta, Magnoliopsida, Celastrales, Celastraceae. The transcript is spliced from 5 exons.